Molecule: long non-coding RNA, 646 nt
Organism: Strigops habroptila (Kakapo)
Lineage: Eukaryota; Metazoa; Chordata; Aves; Psittaciformes; Psittacidae
Exons: 3
Source: RefSeq, a predicted model, not a curated record
CUCUGCCCUGACUUUUGUCUGCUUGUCCACAAGAUCAGCUCUGAUGUCGUGCAGAUGACUUUGGACCUACCUUAUUGCUAUGGACUUGUCUGAUGUUCAUGGGACUCUUGGCUGACCCUUGUACCCAGCAUCCAGCCCACUGCCCUUCUUGCUUGGGCACAACGGGACUGCACCAGUUUGGGGAGGACACUGCCUCUGUUGAUGCCUGUGGCUUCCGAAUCAUCUUUGCGGAUCAGUCCCCUGACACUGGAUUUCCCGUUGUGUCAACACCCACAUUAGAGCCUUUCAUGUGAGAAAUGCUAUUCUUCUAUGAAGAGUUGCAGAAUAUUUGCCUAGAGCAGACAUUAAGGAAAUGCCCUUGAGUGAGCUGAGAAGGCAUGAGGAGGAACACGAGAAGGAACAGAUGCAGUUUUGAAGGUCUUCACUGCAAGCAGAACAGGUAGGUGAUACGCAGCCGUGCUCAGGAUAAGGUUUGGAAUAGGAACAAUAGGAAGAGAACCAGGGAAGAUGUUUUUCCUGCCCAAACAGUUGCAUCUGUGCUGACUAGAGAGUGUGGGUCUUGACGCUAUUACAGUUUGAACAGAGGGUACAUACACUUCACACAGACACUCCCAUGCCAUAUGGCUGGGAGCAUGCUCGAAGCGUA